Alligator mississippiensis (American alligator) is the source of this 438-nucleotide long non-coding RNA. RefSeq lists it as uncharacterized. The transcript is spliced from 3 exons. The record is from RefSeq and is a predicted model, not a curated record. Lineage: Eukaryota; Metazoa; Chordata; Crocodylia; Alligatoridae.
ACUCAGUGGAGCAGAAAAGAUCGCGGUGCCCAGAAUUUGAAAGAAAAGCAUAGCAGAGUCUGAGCAUUUCAAGUUAAGAAAUGCGGCCAUUAUCAAACCUGCUUAAAGGGAAGUGGUUCCUGCAAGUCCACCUCAUGUUAGUUUUUACAUUAUUGCUGGAUAGUUACAGAGUGUACCACUCACAACUUCUAAAGUGGACACAAAAUGAGAAGAACACUGCAGUCUGAUUGGUUAACUUCUGUGGUGCUCCUUUAGCAUCUGAAGAGAAGAAUUUCACAUCUGACAGUAAGGCGUAUUCCUGCUGGGAGAGACCCCCCUAUUAGAGUCAGGACCUCUUGUACCUAAAUCUAUAUGCAACAUCAUCAUUGAAAACUUUUGGAGACUGGUAUGCACCAAUUUCCUUUCAUGCUGUUGACUAUUUUUGUUCAGGAAAUAAAU